AUUGAACGCUGGCGGCAGGCUUAACACAUGCAAGUCGAGCGGAGAUGAGGUGCUUGCACCUUAUCUUAGCGGCGGACGGGGGAGUAAUGCUUAGGAAUCUGCCUAUUGGUGGGGGACAACAUUCCGAAAGGAAUGCUAAUACCGCAUACGUCCUACGGGAGAAAGCAGGGGAUCUUCGGACCUUGCGCUAAUAGAUGAGCCUAAGUCGGAUUAGCUAGUUGGUGGGGUAAAGGCCUACCAAGGCGACGAUCUGUAGCGGGUCUGAGAGGAUGAUCCGCCACACUGGGACCGAGACACGGCCCAGACUCCUACGGGAGGCAGCAGUGGGGAAUAUUGGACAAUGGGGGAGACCCUGAUCCAGCCAUGCCGCGUGUGUGAAGAAGGCCUUAUGGUUGUAAAGCACUUUAAGCGAGGAGGAGGCUACUGAGACUAAUACUCUUGGAUAGUGGACGUUACUCGCAGAAUAAGCACCGGCUAACUCUGUGCCAGCCGCCGCUGUAA
RNAcentral lists this ribosomal RNA (501 nucleotides) under uncultured bacterium. RNAcentral describes it as "partial 16S ribosomal RNA". It matches the Rfam family "Bacterial small subunit ribosomal RNA", at positions 30 to 523 of the family's 1533-position model. The record is from RNAcentral.